This 1222-nucleotide ribosomal RNA is filed under the name uncultured Halomonas sp. Its description in RNAcentral is "bacterial SSU rRNA". It matches the Rfam family "Bacterial small subunit ribosomal RNA", at positions 158 to 1382 of the family's 1533-position model. The record is from RNAcentral. Lineage: Bacteria; Pseudomonadati; Pseudomonadota; Gammaproteobacteria; Oceanospirillales; Halomonadaceae.
CCAGGCUAAUACCGCAUACGUCCUACGGGAGAAAGGGGGCUCGGCUCCCGCUAUGGGAUGAGCCUAUGUCGGAUUAGCUAGUUGGUGAGGUAACGGCUCACCAAGGCCACGAUCCGUAGCUGGUCUGAGAGGAUGAUCAGCCACAUCGGGACUGAGACACGGCCCGAACUCCUACGGGAGGCAGCAGUGGGGAAUAUUGGACAAUGGGCGAAAGCCUGAUUCAGCCAUGCCGCGUGUGUGAAGAAGGCCCUCGGGUUGUAAAGCACUUUCAGCGAGGAAGAACGCCUAGCGGUUAAUACCCGCUAGGAAAGACAUCACUCGCAGAAGAAGCACCGGCUAACUCCGUGCCGGCAGCCGCGGUAAUACGGAGGGUGCAAGCGUUAAUCGGAAUUACUGGGCGUAAAGCGCGCGUAGGUGGCUUGAUAAGCCGGUUGUGAAAGCCCCGGGCUCAACCUGGGAACGGCAUCCGGAACUGUCAAGCUAGAGUGCAGGAGAGGAAGGUAGAAUUCCCGGUGUAGCGGUGAAAUGCGUAGAGAUCGGGAGGAAUACCAGUGGCGAAGGCGGCCUUCUGGACUGACACUGACACUGAGGUGCGAAAGCGUGGGUAGCAAACAGGAUUAGAUACCCUGGUAGUCCACGCCGUAAACGAUGUCGACCAGCCGUUGGGUGCCUAGCGCACUUUGUGGCGAAGUUAACGCGAUAAGUCGACCGCCUGGGGAGUACGGCCGCAAGGUUAAAACUCAAAUGAAUUGACGGGGGCCCGCACAAGCGGUGGAGCAUGUGGUUUAAUUCGAUGCAACGCGAAGAACCUUACCUACUCUUGACAUCCUGCGAAUUUGGUAGAGAUACCUUAGUGCCUUCGGGAACGCAGAGACAGGUGCUGCAUGGCUGUCGUCAGCUCGUGUUGUGAAAUGUUGGGUUAAGUCCCGUAACGAGCGCAACCCUUGUCCUUAUUUGCCAGCGCGUAAUGGCGGGAACUCUAAGGAGACUGCCGGUGACAAACCGGAGGAAGGUGGGGACGACGUCAAGUCAUCAUGGCCCUUACGAGUAGGGCUACACACGUGCUACAAUGGUCGGUACAAAGGGUUGCCAACUCGCGAGAGUGAGCCAAUCCCGAAAAGCCGAUCUCAGUCCGGAUCGGAGUCUGCAACUCGACUCCGUGAAGUCGGAAUCGCUAGUAAUCGUGGAUCAGAAUGCCACGGUGAAUACGUUCCCGGGCCUU